Long non-coding RNA from Stegostoma tigrinum, 1677 nucleotides. RefSeq lists it as uncharacterized. The transcript has 3 exons. NCBI's taxonomy places the organism in Eukaryota, Metazoa, Chordata, Chondrichthyes, Orectolobiformes, Stegostomatidae. The record is from RefSeq and is a predicted model, not a curated record.
AGGAACACUGCAACAUGUGUGCAUUGGAAAAACUAGAGGAGGGGCAGAGAGUACAACAACAAGGAAUUUAUGGUUCUACCAGACCUGCUCAGUUUCUCCAGCUUUUCUGAAGAAGGGUCUAGGCCUGAAACAUCAGCUUUCCCGAUCCUCUGAUGCUGCCUGACCGGCUGUGUUCCUCCAACUCCACACCGUGUUAUCUCGGGCUCCAGCACCUGCAGUCCCUACUAUCUCCUCCUAUAGAUUAGUUUGUUAGAGCAAUGAGGAACAAAGCAGGAAGAUCCCAGCAGAACCAACAGCAAAUUCAACAAGACUUUUAGACAAGCUUUGUUGGAUGGUAUUGCCUUAGUGCACAUGACAAAGUUGAGCCCUUCUGAAGAUUGGAUGGCUUUUUUGCAUUUGGAUAGGCGAUAUGAACAUAUCGGCAUCAUGGCAAUCAAAUAUUCCACGUACAGUCCCUGUGCUGGUUCUCUCGAAGAGCAAUCAAUCAGUCCCAUUGUCAUAUGUUCAUUGGUAAGAAUUCUAUCAGAACUGCGUAAUUCUCUCUUAUUCCUUAUUUUAAAUAAGUUUCAAAACAGAUCAGAACUAUGGCUAUAGCUGGUGAUGGGAAAGUUCCUGAAUGUCUCAGACUUGAACCGAAGAUCCCCCUUCUAAUUCCACACAGUCAUGCUAAAGGAAAGUAUAAUGGGGCUCAUUGGUUUAAGAUGAGAGUAACACAAAGGCCCUUUGUGAUGAUCAUUAACUGAAUUAGGUUUCUGACUGAGUUGGGAGAUGUGCGAUUACAUAACACUCAGAAAGUGACAGACAUUUGUGUAGUUUUCACGUCAUUACCUCUGGUAUGAGGGCUAAUCUAUUUAAAUAGGCUUCUGAUUAAUAUUGUGUGUCUUAUUAUUGCAGAAGCUCCUGGGAGAACGCAGGAUGUAAAUGCUGAUUGUAUCAAGUAGCUUUUCUCUUUUACUUUUGGGUGGUUUUAUUCGCUGCUAAAAAGGAGCUUUAGGGGCAAGUUUACUCACACUAUUUAUUUGUUAUUGGUGCAACUCCUGAUUUAAGAACAUCUAUUUAAAACAAUUUAGCUCAAAGGAUACUAAGAGAAGGUAGCUCAAAUGUUAAUUUGUGUAGUAAAAUUGCACUUGGAUGUACUUCAGCAAUGUUAUCUUCAAAGGAUCCCUCUUGAAGUCCAUCCAUUCCCUAAUUUUCAUGUCAUUGUGUUCUUUUCAUUUUUCAGAUCGUGAAUCUUAUUUUUCUAAGGGUGUCCCAAGCUUUUUCUAUGUUUAGUUUCCUUUAACAGCAACUCUUUUCUGCAAUGACCUGUUCCCUUGGCUCCCAUAAGUCCUGAUCACGUCUAAAGUGCGGAAACAUCUAGGGUCUAAUUAGCUCAGAGAUCUCCAAGCACACGGCCAAAAGAAAGAAAAAGAUACAUUGAAUGUAAUGGGUUCAUUGAAUAAAUACACAUGAUCUGCAAAGCAAUUCUUUUGUUUCUGCACAUGACUGGAUCAGGAAACCUGGUUUGUAGUUCCUCUGGAUUUAAUAACUGAGCUAUUUAAGUAAAUUUGGCUUGCAUGUUAAGGGUCAUUAAAUUAUUUUGAGAUACAUAUGUUUAAAUAACUAACCAUAUUUGAAUCUAACAACAUCUUGUUUAUAAAUAUGUAUAAAUUGUCAAUUCCUUCUUUAAAGCACACU